GUUCCCUCCACCAAGGCAGUACCUCUUCGCACGAUUGGAAAAGGAAGAGGUAAAGGAGAAACGAGGCAACCGAUGAAAGAUGAUAAGGUUGAAGCAAUCUCAGUCCAGGAAAAAGCUUCUAGUAUGUCGGACAUCUUUAGAACCUUCUCCACGAGAUAUGUUCGACUGAAUGGCAUUCUUUUCACUCGCACUAGCUUGGAAACAUUUGGAGAAGUGCAGUUGGUGGUUAAGAAUGAUCUGCUCAAGCUUCU
Molecule: unclassified non-coding RNA, 251 nt
Filed under: Hevea brasiliensis (rubber tree)
Lineage: Eukaryota; Viridiplantae; Streptophyta; Magnoliopsida; Malpighiales; Euphorbiaceae
Source: RNAcentral